RNAcentral lists this ribosomal RNA (3211 nucleotides) under Durio zibethinus. RNAcentral's name for it is "eukaryotic LSU rRNA". It matches the Rfam family "Eukaryotic large subunit ribosomal RNA". Lineage: Eukaryota; Viridiplantae; Streptophyta; Magnoliopsida; Malvales; Malvaceae. The record is from RNAcentral.
ACCCUAGGUCAGGUAGGAUUACUUGUUAAGUUUAAGCAUAUGAAUAAGCAAAGGAAAAGAAACUUACCAGGAUUCUCCUAGUCACAACAAAUGAACCAAAAAAAGCCCAGCUUGAGAAUCGGGAACCCUUGGAGUCCAAAUUGUAGUUUAGUGAAGCGUUCUCAGUGGUGAACUACACCUAAGUCCCAUAAAAGGGGUGUUAGAGAGGGUGAGAGUCCUAUUGUGCUGGAUCCUAUCGCACCAUGGGACUCUAUCUACGAGUCAGGUUGUUUGGGACUGCAGCCCUAAUCGGGUGGUAAAUUUUAUCCAAGGCUAAAUAUGAGUGAGAGACCAAUAGUGAAGAAGUACCAUGAGGGAAAGAUGGAAAGGACUUUGGAAAAAGAGUCAAAGAGUGCUUGAAAUUAUUGAAAGGGAAAUGGAUGAGGGACGAUGAUGUGCCCAGUUAGAUGUGGAAUAGUGAGAGCCAGUCCAUUGAUUGGUGUAAGGCAUUGACUAACAUGUGUUGCAGUGGCUGCACAACCCUGGGCUUUCGAUAUGCCCAUGAAGACAUUGUCACUAUGAUCAUGGAAUGUAACACACAUCGUCUCAACAUGCCUUGACACUCACGUGCUCUUGGCAUCAGCCUGCGAGCUCUUGAAAUGUAAACCAAAGAGUGUGACAUGUCUGCAAGUUAACAUCCCAGAUAACCUAUAAGGUGCAAGCAAGCUUAUUGGUGGGAUCCUUCAUAGGUGCACCACCGACUGACCUUGAUCUUCUGAGAAAGGUUUGAGUGUGAGCUUACCUGUUGAGGUGAACUAUGCCUGAGUGGGGCUAAGCUAGGGGAAACUCUAGUGGAAGCCCAUAAUGAUACUGAUGUGUAAAUCAUUCAUCUAACUUGGGUAUAAGGGUGAAAGACUAAUUGAACCAUCUAGUAGCUAGUUCCCUCUAAAGUUUCCUUUAGAAUAGAUGGAGCCCUUUGCGAGUUCUAUAAGGUAAAACCAUGGUUAGAGGCAUUGGGGCACAAUGCCCUUAACCUAUUUCAAACUUUAAAUAAGUAUAAUGAUGUAGCUAUUUCAUUGAGAUGCUCUAUGGAAUCGAGACCUCCAAGUGGGAAAUUUUUUGUAAGUAGAACUAGCGACACAAGAUGAACUAAAAGUUGGGUUAUAGUGCCUAAUUGUGCGCUAAACUAGAACCCUCAAAGGUGUUGGUCGAUUAAGACAGUAAGGCGGUGAUCAUGGAAGUCAAAAUCCUCUAAAGAAUGUGUAACAACCCACCUAUCAAAUCAACUAGCCUCGAAAAUAAAUGGCGCUUAAGCAUGUGACCUAUACUAGAUCAUCGAGGUUAAGGCCAAGCCCCAAAAAGUAAGAUGGUAUGAUGGUUGUUGUAAAACUCAAUGCGCAAGCUUAUGUAAAGAGACUGUUAGUGUAGAUCUUGGUGGUAGUAGCAAAUAUUCAAAUGAGAACUUUGAAGGCCAAAGAAGGGAAAGGUUUCAUGUGAACACCACUUGCAUAUAGGUUAGCCAAUCCUUAGAGAUGGGUCCAACAUGAGCUUUGAAAGGAAAUUGAGUUAAAAUUCCUAAACUAGGACACAAUGUCUAAUAGCAACAUUAGGGAUUCCAAAGACAUCGAUGAGGGCCUCAGGAAGAGUUAUCUUUUCUAUUUAAUGACCUGCUUACACUAGAAACAACUCAAUUGGAGGUAGGUUCCAUUGGCCAAAAAAGUAACGUAUGUCAUAUUAUGUCAUGUUUACCCUAGCAGCCCUUGAAAAUAUGGAGGAGUGAGUGCUAUUCAUGCCCGGUUGUACUCAUAAUUGAAUGGGUUUCCAAAUUGAACAAGCUCUAGUCGAUGGAACAAUGUAGGUAAGGGAAGUCAGCAAAGUGGAUCUCUAACCUUGGGAAAAGGAUUGGCUCUAAGGGUUGGGCAUAGGGGUCCCAGUCUUGAACCUUUUGGCUACCAAUGCACUACUUGAGCUGCCCUCAUGGCAAAAGCAAUUUGAUGCAUGUAGGCUAGGGGAUGGACUAGGAAUGGCUCCCUCAGGGGCCUUUCCCAUGUGAUGAAUUGUCAACUCAAAAUUGGUACAAGCUAGGGGAAUUCUACUGUUUAAUUAAAACAAAGCAUCACUAUGGUCCCUAGGGAUGCUCACUCAAUGUGAUUUUUGCCUGGUGCUCUAAAUGUCAAAGUGAAGAAAUUCAACCAAUCGUGGGUAAACGAUAGGAGUAAUGUGACUAUUUUGAGGUAGCCAAAUGCCUCUACAUCUAAUUAGUGACACACAUGAGUGGAUUAACAAGAUUCCCAUUGUCAUUAUCGACUAUCCAGCAAAACCACAACCAAGGGAACAGGCUUAGCAGAACCAGUAGGAAAGAAGACCUAAUUGAGCUUGACUCUAGUCUAACUUUGUGAAAUGACUUGAAAGGUGUAGGAUAAGUGGGAGCCCUCUGAUGAAAUUGAAAUACCAUUUCUUUUAAUGUUAUUUUACUUAUUUCAUGAAUCGAAGGUGGGGCACAACCCUUUCUUUUGGACAUAAGGCCAGCCUCGAUCGAUCAAUCCAAGCAGAAGACAUUGUCAGGUGGGGAGUUUGCAGGGGCAGCACAUCUAUUAAAAGAUAACGUAGGUGUCCUAUGAUAAUCUCAAUGAAAACAAGAAUCUCAUGUGGAAUAAAAGGGAAAAGGCUCAUUUCAUUUUGAUUUCUAGUACAAAUAUGAACCUUGAAAGCAUGGCCUAUCGAUCUUUUAGACCUUUGAAAUUUAAAGCUAGAGGCAUUAGAAAAGUUACCAUAGGGACAAUUAGCUUAUGGCAAUGAAGUAUUCAUUAGCGACAUUGCUUGUUGAUCCUUCGAUGUCAGCUCUUCCCAUCAUUAUGAAGCAAAAUUCUUUAAAUGUUGUAUUGGUCACCCACCAAUAUGAAAUGUGAGCUAGGUUUAGACCAUUGUGAGAUAGGUUAGUUUUACCCUACUAAUAGCAAUGUUAUAAUAGUAAUUCAACCUAGAAUGAGAAGAACUAUUGAUUCACAUAAUUGGUCAUCGUACUUGGUUGAAAAGCUAGGGGCAAGAAGCUAUCAUGCGCUGGAUUAUGAUUAAAUGCCUCUAAGUCAAAAUCUAGGCUAGAAGUGAUACAUACGCCCAUCAUCCAAUUAUGGACCUACAGCAUGGAUGCAUGGCCCCUAAGGGCAGUGUCAUAGGUGCAACCCAUGCUACAGACAAGCUACACAGGCUUCAUUAGAGCGUAAUUCCUACU